Molecule: long non-coding RNA, 751 nt
Organism: Mandrillus leucophaeus (drill)
Lineage: Eukaryota; Metazoa; Chordata; Mammalia; Primates; Cercopithecidae
Exons: 4
Source: RefSeq, a predicted model, not a curated record
ACAGAAAGAGAGUAUCAUUCUACUACACCCGCUGAUGACUUCAAAGCUGCGUGCUCUGAGACUGCCAACCCUGCACUCCAGAACAGUCCAUUGAGUUCAGGAGACAAGCACGUCAGCCAUGACACAGGGUGGAUGAGAGGGACCCCCAGUGUCCACGCGUGGAGGCAGCGGGGGCAGCCGUGACUUCCUUCUACAGUGUUGAUUCAGCUCCCUUUGCAGGCGAAUUCAUACAAACAAGCUGACAACCAGGGCUGGUCUCAGGCCACCCGUCUGGGUUCAUUGCAGAAAUGGAGAUCUGCCCUGGGCAGCCAGGUGAGUGUAGGAAGGAGGCAGGGGUGCGAGAAGCUGGGGGCAGCCUCCAUCCCCCUGUGGCCUGGGUGGGCCUGUGCUCCCCCGAUGCAGCUUCCCACGCUGGGAGCACAGUUCCUCCCUCCUCUGCCUUCCUCUGCGUGGGGUGGCUCCUCCUUGAGAGAGGGAGAUGAGGAUGUGGCAUUCUUGCUUCCCUGACUCACCCAAAGGAAGAUUUCACAGCCCCUGGCAAGGGCUGCCAGACAGGCUCACCUGUCAUCCCCUGCCCAGGGACAGACUGACUGGUAGCCUUGGCUUGGGGGGGGCAGUUAUGCUGGGGGGGGGAGUUAUGCUGGGAAGGGUCUUCCAGGCCCCCUGGGUGUGGGAAGAUGCUCAUUGUUCAAAGGAGAUGGAGCAAGGAAAACAGUUAAGCAAUGAUGGACUCCGGGGGAAAACCAGAGGA